GCGUUCGUAGCUGGAUUGGUAAGGCUUCAGCCUUUCAAGCACCCGGUCAUGGGUUCAAUUCCUUGCAAGUGCA
Molecule: non-coding RNA, 73 nt
Organism: Eragrostis curvula (weeping love grass)
Lineage: Eukaryota; Viridiplantae; Streptophyta; Magnoliopsida; Poales; Poaceae
Source: the annotation of a GenBank genome assembly